AUUGAACGCUGGCGGCAGGCCUAACACAUGCAAGUCGAACGAGUGGCGGACGGGUGAGUAAUGUCUGGGAAACUGCCUGAUGGAGGGGGAUAACUACCGGAAACGGUAGCUACUACCGCAUACCAUCAGAUGUGCCCAGAUGGGAUUAGCUAGUUGGUGGGGUAACGGCUCACCAAGGCGAAGAUCCCUAGCUGGUCUGAGAGGAUGACCAGCCACACUGGAACUGAGACACGGUCCAGACUCCUACGGGAGGCAGCAGUGGGGAAUAUUGCACAAUGGGCGCAAGCCUGAUGCAGCCAUGCCGCGUGUAUGAAGAAGGCCUUCGGGUUGUAAAGGACUUUCAGCGGGGAGGCGUUACCCGCAGAAGAAGCACCGGCUAACUCCGUGCCAGCAGCCGCGGUAAUUC
RNAcentral lists this ribosomal RNA (406 nucleotides) under uncultured bacterium. Its description in RNAcentral is "partial 16S ribosomal RNA". It matches the Rfam family "Bacterial small subunit ribosomal RNA", at positions 30 to 526 of the family's 1533-position model. The record is from RNAcentral.